RNAcentral lists this ribosomal RNA (462 nucleotides) under uncultured bacterium. RNAcentral's name for it is "partial 16S ribosomal RNA". It matches the Rfam family "Bacterial small subunit ribosomal RNA", at positions 28 to 507 of the family's 1533-position model. The record is from RNAcentral.
GACGAACGCUGGCGGCGUGCUUAACACAUGCAAGUCGAACGGAAAGGCCCUUCGGGGUACUCGAGUGGCGAACGGGAGCGUAACACGAGGGCGAUCUGCCCCUCACCUUGGGAUAAGCCUGGGAAACUGGGUCUAAUACUGGAUAGGACUACGGCCUCCAUCUGCUGUGGUGGAAUGGUUUUGCUGCGGGGGAUGGGCCCGCGGCCUAUCAGCUUGUUGGUGGGGUAGUGGCCUACCAAGGCGAUGACGGGUAGCCGGCCUGAGAGGGUGACCGGCCACACUGGGACUGAGAUACGGCCCAGACUCCUACGGGAGGCAGCAGUGGGGAAUAUUGCACAAUGGGCGGAAGCCUGAUGCAGCGACGCCGCGUGAGGGAUGACGGCCUUCGGGUUGUAAACCUCUUUCGCCAGGGACGAAGCGCGAGUGACGGUACCUGGAGAAGAAGGACCGGCCAACUACGUG